UUGGAGGGCAAGUCUGGUGCCAGCAGCCGCGGUAAUUCCAGCUCCAAUAGCGUAUAUUAAAGUUGUUGCAGUUAAAAAGCUCGUAGUUGAAUUUCGGGAUCAAUAUUUCGGUCAUGCCGUUGGUAUGCACUGUUAUCAUUGAUUUCUCACCUUCUAAAGAACCGUAAUGCCAUUAAUUUGGUGUUACGGGGAAUUAGGACUGUUACCUUGAAAAAAUUAGAGUGUUUAAAGCAGGCUCACGCUUGAAUACAUUAGCAUGGAAUAAUGAAAUAGGACGUUUGAUUCUAUUUUGUUGGUUUCUAGGAUCGACGUAAUGAUUAAUAGGGAUAGUUGGGGGCAUUAGUAUUCAAUUGUCAGAGGUGAAAUUCUUGGAUUUAUUGAAGACUAACUACUGCGAAAGCAUUUGCCAAGGAUGUUUUCAUUAAUCAAGAACGAAAGUUAGGGGAUCGAAGACGAUCAGAUACCGUCGUAGUCUUAACCAUAAACUAUGCCGACUAGGGAUCGGAUGAUGUUAAUUUUUUAAUGACUCAUUCGGCGCCUUACGGGAAAC
RNAcentral lists this ribosomal RNA (550 nucleotides) under uncultured fungus. Its description in RNAcentral is "SSU rRNA". It matches the Rfam family "Eukaryotic small subunit ribosomal RNA", at positions 548 to 1098 of the family's 1831-position model. Lineage: Eukaryota; Fungi. The record is from RNAcentral.